This is a long non-coding RNA of Cucumis melo (muskmelon), 1583 nucleotides long. RefSeq lists it as uncharacterized. The record is from RefSeq and is a predicted model, not a curated record. NCBI's taxonomy places the organism in Eukaryota, Viridiplantae, Streptophyta, Magnoliopsida, Cucurbitales, Cucurbitaceae. The transcript has 3 exons.
GAUAUUAAAAGUAUUAUUAUUUCUUUAAAUAGAACCUCGUGGUGCGUGAGGGUACUAUUCACCAUCUUCUUCCUCACAAACCUUAACUUCUCAAACUCUAAUCAAGCUGCUGCCGCCACCGUCUCCUCUGCCGCUGCACGUCGUCCCCUCGAUCCAAGCCGUCAAAGCCAGCUCCUUCAUUCACAAGUUGUUGCACUUGGGUCCUUCAGCUCGCAUGAUCGCUGCUGAUCCAUUCGAAGAGCCGCCGUCCACACCCAUCAUCACGUUUUGCAAGCGUCCAAACUGAUUCCUCACGUUAGUCGAUCGUUCAUGUCGUCGAGCUGCACAAGUCAUCCAUUUCGAAGCUACGUCGCACUAGCCACCGUUCACGAGCCUUUAGUCGAUUAUCGAGCCAUGUGGUGUAGCCAAUCUCUCCUUCGAGUCGCGCUCUUACGCAAGUCAUUCUUAAACGCUCAAGCCGCAAGCGUGCGCCAGUGAUUCAAGCCUACCAGCAUCGAUUCCCUCCCUUAGCCGAGCCGCCUAGCCGAUUUUCCCUCCAGCCAAGCCAUUUUCAAGCCACCAAGUUUAUUUUGGCCCAUUUAAUCUAUUUUUGAUUUUAACUGGGAGUUGGUGCUGUGAAAUUUCUCCCCAACCAAGGAAAAUUUGGAUUCAACCUCGACUUUGGGACUUCAUUGUUUGGGAAAGCUUGGCUAUUUGCUGUUAGAACUUGGAUAAGCUAAUCUCCAGGUAAGAGAUUCUCUUACUAGACCUUCAAACUGAAAUAAGAGCUUGCAUGUAAUUUUUCCAUUAUGCAUUGAGGUAGCUAAGAUGUAUAAUAAGUUUAUGUUUAUGAUGACUAAUAGUCAUGAGGGAGUUUAUGUUUAAGAUGACUGAUAGUUAUGACAUGAGAUAUGUUGAUGAUGAUAUUUGAUGAUGUUGAUGCUUAUGCAUGAAAUAUUAAUCUUGAUUAAAAAUGCUACGAUUAAUAUUCAUGUCAUGCUUAUGAUGUUAUGUUAUGCUAUAUGCUAUGAUUAGGGUGUACUGUUAGCUUUAUCUAUUAGAGUCGUACCCACAUGGGUGUCUCUCGAGAUCACCAUCUUUUUAUGACUAAGUAAUCCGACGGGAUAACCAAUUCAAAAUGAGAUGAUAUGUUACGAGUGAUCCGAUGGGGUCACUCACAGCCCAAAUGUCUUAAUGUUUCUUUCGAGUUCACUAAAGAUCAGUUUUGUCCUAGUUGUUCCUUUGGGUUCACCGAAAACCAGAGAUGUUCCUACGGGAUUACAGAUUGCACGUGUUCGGGAACGUGCCAGUUUAGGGGUACCACUCUACAGGACUCUAAUAGAAAGUUAGCAGAUACCUGGCGGGAUAGUAGUAGGUUCCUUACUGAGUAUAUUUUUAUACUCACUCUUUCAUGUUUAAAUUUUUCAAGCAAAGAUAAAGGGAGAGGUAGAGGGAAGUUGGCGAAUGACAAGAAGUGACUGUGGCAUGCCAUAGAGACACGUUUUGCUUCCGCUGUUAUGUUUUCAGUUUGAUUUUAGUAUCUUUUUUGUACUUUCAUGAUUACUCUUUAAAACUAGAUAGGGCCCGAACUAGGAUUUUGUUAU